Long non-coding RNA from Solea senegalensis (Senegalese sole), 789 nucleotides. RefSeq lists it as uncharacterized. NCBI's taxonomy places the organism in Eukaryota, Metazoa, Chordata, Actinopteri, Pleuronectiformes, Soleidae. The transcript has 3 exons. The record is from RefSeq and is a predicted model, not a curated record.
GAGAGACACACACACAAAGACCAGAGAGUGUCUCACACUGAUGAGACACGUUACUUCAGUGUGAUUUGAACGUAAGGAAGUUUUAAAGUUCUACACAAGUGUAGCAGCUCCAGCACAAGUUAGCACCUACUCUAACUAUAGUCUCACAGGGGACAGAUGGUUGAAGUCAACAAGCACCAGGAAAACCAAGUGAGCGGCGAGUGGAGAAGAUGAGAAGAGGAAUCCACCAUCAGUGCAGGGAUGAAGCAGCACCUGCAGCAGGAGACGCCACAGAGCCUGUGUGUGUGUGUGUGUGAGUCCUCCAGCACCAAGACAGAAAAGAGGACAAGAAGCAGGUCUGCAGACGAGGUGAAGAGUGAAGGUGGAGAGACUCUGCUGUCUUAGCUGUCCUUUCAGACACAGUACUGCUCAUGACAAGUUCUAAAGGGAUCAUUGAGGUUUUAUGAAGUGCCAUUUAAUCACUUACACACACACACACUGCCAUCCUGAGCAACCAGCCUGAGACAUGGAGGCUCGCCCUCACUGAAAACAUGGCUCUUUUCAACACUGUAUUUGGGUUUUCCAAACAGGAGCAGUGACACAUAAAACUAAUGAUGGAAAUAAUUAAAAAUAAAGGUAAACAAUACAGGAUUGACCUACUUAACAAAAGGAUGAUAUAAUAAAAUCUACACCAGCAUCUACAUCUAUGAUAUCUUAAGAAUAGGUUUGCCACUUAAUCUCUUGAUCUUUUAAUAAUAUCUGACAGGAAAGUGAAGUUUGUGUUACUUUGUACACCACUCACUCACACAA